GUCAAAGUCUAUCCCAAUGGAGCUUUUUCUAUAGAUUCACAUUGCUGGAAAUGGUAUAAAUAUGUGGUUUGUUUUACAGUUUGCAGGAAAGAAUUAUAAGACGAGA
Molecule: small nucleolar RNA, 106 nt
Filed under: Capra hircus (goat)
Lineage: Eukaryota; Metazoa; Chordata; Mammalia; Artiodactyla; Bovidae
Source: RNAcentral